This 489-nucleotide ribosomal RNA is filed under the name uncultured bacterium. RNAcentral describes it as "bacterial SSU rRNA". It matches the Rfam family "Bacterial small subunit ribosomal RNA", at positions 1 to 507 of the family's 1533-position model. The record is from RNAcentral.
AGUUUGAUCAGUGGACUCGAGGACGAACGCUGGCGGCGUGCUUAACACAUGCAAGUCGAACGGAAAGGCCUCUUUCGGGGGGUACUCGAGUGGCGAACGGGUGAGUAACACGUGAGUAACCUGCCCUUGACUUUGGGAUAACUUCGGGAAACUGGGGCUAAUACCGGAUAGGAGCUCCUGCUGCAUGGUGGGGGUUGGAAAGUUUCGGCGGUUGGGGAUGGACUCGCGGCUUAUCAGCUUGUUGGUGGGGUAGUGGCUUACCAAGGGCUUUGACGGGUAGCCGGCCUGAGAGGGUGACCGGCCACAUUGGGACUGAGAUACGGCCCAGACUCCUACGGGAGGCAGCAGUGGGGAAUAUUGCACAGUGGGUGGAAGCCUGAUGCAGCAACGCCGUGUGCGGGAUGACGGCCUUCGGGUUGUAAACCGCUUUCGCUCAUGACGAAGCUUUGUGUGACGGUAGUGGGUAAAGAAGCACCGGCUAACUACGUG